GCGGAAUUUUGGGGAUUUCGGGUGGAAUUUUGGGGGUUUGGGGUGGAAUUUUGGGGGUUUAAAGUCAGAAUUUGGGAUUUUGGGUGGAAUUUUGGGGGUUUAAAGUCAGAAUUUGGGAUUUUGGGUGGAAUUUUUGGGAUUUCGGGUGGAAUUUUGGGGAUUUCGGGUGGAAUUUUGGGGGUUUGGGGUGGAAUUUUGGGGGUUUAAAGUCAGAAUUUGGGAUUUUGGGUGGAAUUUUGGGGGGUUUGGGGCUGGAAUUUGGGGUUUUGGGGCUCAAAUUUGGGAUUUUGGGUGGAAUUUUGGGGGUUUAAAGUCAGAAUUUGGGAUUUCGGGUGGAAUUUUGGGGGUUUGGGGCUGGAAUUUGGGAUUUGGGGUGGAAUUGUUGGGUUUUUGGGUGGAAUUUUGGGGAUUUUGGGUGGAAUUUUGGGGAUUUCGGGUGGAAUUUUGGGGGUUUAAAGUCAGAAUUUGGGAUUUUGGGUGGAAUUUUUGGGAUUUUGGGUGGAAUUUUUGGGUUUUUGGGUGGAAUUUUGGGGAUUUUGGGUGGAAUUUUGGGGGGUUUGGGGCUGGAAUUUGGGAUUUCGGUGGAAUUUUGGGGGUUUGGGGUGGAGUUUUGGGGAUUUUGGGUGGAAUUUUUGGGGAUUUUGGGUGGAAUUUUGGGGAUUUCGGGUGGAAUUUUGGGAUUUGGGGUGGAAUUUUUGGGUUUUUGGGUGGAAUUUUGGGGAUUUCGGGUGGAAUUUUGGGGGGUUUGGGGCUGGAAUUUGGGAUUUCGGGUGGAAUUUUGGGGGUUUGGGUUGGGGUUUUGGGGGUUUAGGACUGGAAUUUGGGAUUUUGGGUGGAAUUUUUGGGAUUUUGGGUGGAAUUUGGGGGGUUUAGGACUGGAAUUUGGGAUUUUGGGUGGAAUUUUGGGGGUUUGGGGUUGGAAUUUGGGAUUUGGGGCUGGAAUUUUGGGGGUUUGGGGUGGAAUUUUGGGGGUUUUGGGGCUGGAAUUUGGGAUUUGGGGUGGAAUUUUGGGGGGCUUGGGAUUGGAAUUUGGGGAGUUGGAGUCAGAAUUUGGGAUCUUGGAUGGAAUUUUGGGG
RNAcentral lists this long non-coding RNA (1076 nucleotides) under Cyanistes caeruleus (blue tit). RNAcentral's name for it is "lncRNA (ENSCCEG00000007074.1)". Lineage: Eukaryota; Metazoa; Chordata; Aves; Passeriformes; Paridae. The record is from RNAcentral.